ACUAAAGGAAAAUAGCUCCAAAGUGGAGUCUGAGUAAGAAGACUUGUUUCAUUUCUCACCACGGCGCUCUUUUGUUUCACAGAUUCCCUGAACAAUGAGGCACAGUGGCACAGUUUGGAAGCAAAGGAUGGUAGUGUUUGUGGGAUCAGUAGUAUCAGCAGUCCUGAAGGUCACGCUGAUAAGACCUCGGAUUUCCACCUCAGAAUUGCAUUGUGCUCCGACCUUCGGACCCCCUGAAGUCGAUCAAACCGGCAAAACGGCUGCUCCACCGCAGGACGGCUGAGUUCAGAGAGAUGGGGUAUAACUGAGGAUCAGUGCUCAGCCCGGGACCUGCCAUGCUAGUGCAACGGCUCUAUAGCUGCGUGAGGCGGUUGGUCAGUCCACCAUGUUGGUCCAGAAUGGAACAUUUCAACAAAAAGCUUUCAAAUCAAACUCCGUCCAACUUUUACCAGACUGAGUCCAGCACUCUGAGAGCAGCUCUGACGCCCACAUCGAGAGGUCGAAAUCCAACAGGAGGAGAGAGUACAGGCGGAGCAUCAUGUUCACUUAAAACUACAUCAAUUCUUUCUGAUUUCUGUUAAAGGUCAUGUUUAAUCUGCAUCACCAGGCCGUGAUUGUGACUUCAGAUUAAAUGAAAACUCACUCUAAGUGUAGAUAAUUGAAAAAAAGACAACAUAGAUGUAUUAAAAGAGUGCACCAGGUUGUUUUUGGUGAAUAUUAAAAGGUUGUUGAAGUAGGCUGACUCUAAAA
Notolabrus celidotus (New Zealand spotty) is the source of this 750-nucleotide long non-coding RNA. RefSeq lists it as uncharacterized. Lineage: Eukaryota; Metazoa; Chordata; Actinopteri; Labriformes; Labridae. The record is from RefSeq and is a predicted model, not a curated record. The transcript is spliced from 3 exons.